UGUUCAUCACCACCACCAUUAAUACUGC
This 28-nucleotide small RNA is filed under the name Bombyx mori (domestic silkworm). RNAcentral describes it as "piRNA piR-bmo-1690812". The record is from RNAcentral. Lineage: Eukaryota; Metazoa; Arthropoda; Insecta; Lepidoptera; Bombycidae.